Long non-coding RNA from Brassica napus (rape), 1197 nucleotides. RefSeq lists it as uncharacterized. The transcript is spliced from 3 exons. Lineage: Eukaryota; Viridiplantae; Streptophyta; Magnoliopsida; Brassicales; Brassicaceae. The record is from RefSeq and is a predicted model, not a curated record.
GACCAUGAUUAUCGGUGGUUUUUAAAGGGGUCCUUAAGGGAAAAUGGUGAUUUAAUUAAAUCCAAGGAAAAUUAAAUGGUAGUUAUCGAUCCUUAAUGGGGCACUUUUGUUACCGAUUUUAAGAGUGGGUUUUGAACCACGUGUCAGCUCCACAGAAUUUUUAAUUUUUUUUUUCUUUCUUUCUUUUCUCUUGUCGCCGUUUCGUGUCUUCUCAUUUACUCCGUCACAUGCAAAUGAUCGAUACAGACGACGACUCUCUCGGUUGAGUCGACGUCUCCUCCGUAUUCUCCGUGAGAAGAAGGAUCGACACCCAGCACCAACGAGGCACCGAGAGGAAAGCUCGUCAGUACGACGACGAACGGUCCGAGUUUGGUGGGUUUGGCUGCGCCACCGGAAAGGUGCAAAUUAUUCAGCAGAUAAACCAGGAAGGGGAGGUGAACCGAGCUCGGUACAUACCUCAGUACCCUUUUGUGAUUGCUACCAAGACGGUUAACGCGGAGGUGUAUGUGUUUGAUUACAGCAAGCAUCUGACUAAGCCGCCGCUUGAUGAGCUUGUAACCCUGAUUUGAGGCUGAGAGGUCACAGCUCUGAGGGGUAUGGCUUUUCUUGUAGUAAGUUCAAGGCGGGGCAUUUGCUUAGUGGGUCUGAUGACGCUCAGAUCUGUUUGUGGGAUAUUAACGCUCAGUACCUCUUAUAUGGGAUCUGCGUUCUCCAUCUGCCAGUAAACCUAUACAGUCUUUGGUUGCUCACUCCAUGGAGGUGCGUUUGCAAGGAACUGAAUUUUAAGAGCAGAAAAGGUUCUCCAAUAACAGGGGCAGAGCCAUACAUACCUUUUAACAUUAACCCAGCAGGGAUGCAGCCUGUUCUUACAACCACUUACCUCUUGGCAUUUUCCAGCAUUCUUGCAAGCAUUGUGGGUUCACCGUUCUUGUUACACGUGAAGGAGAUAUUAAACCCUGAAAGCACAGUUGGGGCACCGCCAUGGGUUUACUACUCAGUCUAUGCGUUUUUGUGUUUCUCUUCAACAUCUUUGACAUUGUGAGUGUUACUCUUUUUUUUUUCUCAGUCUGAGUUUCAAUCUUCUAUGAAAAUUAAACAUGAUUAGUUAUGCAUGUUUGUGUCACAAGAUGGUUUUGGUUUUGUAUGUUUGUGACACGAGAUGGGAUUGUAUAUGCAAGUCACACGAAUUUUAUUCAA